This 177-nucleotide non-coding RNA is filed under the name bovine gut metagenome. RNAcentral's name for it is "malK-I RNA". It matches the Rfam family "malK-I RNA". The record is from RNAcentral.
GCCCCGGCCACUCCACAACUAUGGUCGGCAAGCUGUGAAAAAAAGGAGGAAAUAAACCAGGCCCAGGCUCGGGCUGCGGCAGUGUGGAGACCUGUCGUAACGCGGACCGUUCCAACGCGGACGGCCGUGAGUGCACAUCAAGCGGAUGCUGUGUGCACGGAGCCGGAAAACAUGGCA